This 497-nucleotide ribosomal RNA is filed under the name uncultured bacterium. RNAcentral's name for it is "partial 16S ribosomal RNA". It matches the Rfam family "Bacterial small subunit ribosomal RNA", at positions 28 to 507 of the family's 1533-position model. The record is from RNAcentral.
GAUGAACGCUGGCGGCGUGCCUAAUACAUGCAAGUCGAGCGAACAGAUAAGGAGCUUGCUCCUUUGACGUUAGCGGCGGACGGGUGAGUAACACGUGGGUAACCUACCUAUAAGACUGGGAUAACUUCGGGAAACCGGAGCUAAUACCGGAUAAUAUUUCGAACCGCAUGGUUCGAUAGUGAAAGAUGGUUUUGCUAUCACUUAUAGAUGGACCCGCGCCGUAUUAGCUAGUUGGUAAGGUAACGGCUUACCAAGGCGACGAUACGUAGCCGACCUGAGAGGGUGUUCGGCCACACUGGAACUGAGACACGGUCCAGACUCCUACGGGAGGCAGCAGUAGGGAAUCUUCCGCAAUGGGCGAAAGCCUGACGGAGCAACGCCGCGUGAGUGAUGAAGGUCUUCGGAUCGUAAAACUCUGUUAUUAGGGAAGAACAUACGUGUAAGUAACUGUGCACGUCUUGACGGUACCUAAUCAGAAAGCCACGGCUAACUACGUG